CAAGGAAUUUUCCGCAAUGGGGGCAACCCUGACGGAGCAACGCCGCGUGCGGGACGACGCCUCUUGGGGUGUAAACCGCUUUUGCCGAGGACGAGAACGGACGGUACUCGGCGAAUAAGGACCGGCUAACUACGUGCCAGCAGCCGCGGUAAUACGUAGGGUCCGAGCGUUGUCCGGAGUUACUGGGCGUAAAGCGCGCGCAGGCGGCCCUUUAGGCACGACGUGAAAGCCCCGGGCUCAACCCGGGAGGGUCGUCGUGAACCGGGGGGCUUGAGGCCGGUAGAGGUGGGUGGAACUCCUGGUGGAGUGGUGAAAUGCGUAGAGAUCAGGAAGAACACCCGUGGCGAAGGCGGCCCACUGGGCCGGUACUGACGCUGAGGCGCGAAGGCGUGGGGAGCGAACGG
RNAcentral lists this ribosomal RNA (404 nucleotides) under uncultured bacterium. RNAcentral describes it as "bacterial SSU rRNA". It matches the Rfam family "Bacterial small subunit ribosomal RNA", at positions 355 to 775 of the family's 1533-position model. The record is from RNAcentral.